AGGAAUCUGCCUAUUAGUGGGGGACAACAUCUCGAAAGGGAUGCUAAUACCGCAUACGUCCUACGGGAGAAAGCAGGGGAUCACUUGUGACCUUGCGCUAAUAGAUGAGCCUAAGUCGGAUUAGCUAGUUGGUGGGGUAAAGGCCUACCAAGGCGACGAUCUGCAGCGGGUCUGAGAGGAUGAUCCGCCACACUGGGACUGAGACACGGCCCAGACUCCUACGGGAGGCAGCAGUGGGGAAUAUUGGACAAUGGGGGGAACCCUGAUCCAGCCAUGCCGCGUGUGUGAAGAAGGCCUUAUGGUUGUAAAGCACUUUAAGCGAGGAGGAGGCUCUUUUGGUUAAUACCCAGAAUGAGUGGACGUUACUCGCAGAAUAAGCACCGGCUAACUCUGUGCCAGCAGCCGCGGUAAUACAGAGGGUGCAAGCGUUAAUCGGAUUUACUGGGCGUAAAGCGCGCGUAGGCGGCCAAUUAAGUCAAAUGUGAAAUCCCCGAGCUUAACUUGGGAAUUGCAUUCGAUACUGGUUGGCUAGAGUGUGGGAGAGGAUGGUAGAAUUCCAGGU
RNAcentral lists this ribosomal RNA (562 nucleotides) under uncultured bacterium. RNAcentral's name for it is "bacterial SSU rRNA". It matches the Rfam family "Bacterial small subunit ribosomal RNA", at positions 119 to 674 of the family's 1533-position model. The record is from RNAcentral.